Long non-coding RNA from Cornus florida, 1467 nucleotides. RefSeq lists it as uncharacterized. The transcript has 5 exons. The record is from RefSeq and is a predicted model, not a curated record. Lineage: Eukaryota; Viridiplantae; Streptophyta; Magnoliopsida; Cornales; Cornaceae.
UUGGUUUACAACAGGCUAGUGUCCCUUCGGGGACAUCCGAUAAAAUUGGAACGAUACAGAGAAGAUUAGCAUGGCCCCUGCGCAAGGAUGACACGCACAAAUCGAGAAAUGGUCCAAAUUUUUUUUUCUUCCUUUUUUGCCACAAUCUUUGGCAUCUGCUUUUACAAAAACACCCUCCUAAUUCGUCAGUUUCCCACAGUACCCCUGAUUUUUUCCACGUGUCUUCUCAUCCAUCUUGAGACUGACCAGAAACUUUACCGUGGAGCUCCCUCUGCAACUCCCAACUCUCUCUUUCAUCUCUGCGUUCCCCCCAACAAUUUGUCUACUCUCUCUCUCUCUCUCUCUCUCUCUCUCUGGACAUAUAAUAGAUAUAUGUGUAUAUAUUUACUCUAUAAAAUAAUUGUUAUGGUGACUGUUGAGGGCAACAAUUCUAACCCUCGAAACCAAGGGGCAAGAAAGGGACUAUUGGGCUGGUAGGAGGCUUGGAUGGGGCGCGGAACACUUGUGUCUCUUGGAGGAAACCUAAAAUCUUGUAUUGGUGAAGUAGCACUGUUGUUGCGCAAACCAGAUGAGAAUUAAAUUUUGAGAAUUUGUAUGUCCUGCUAAUUGAAAGAAGAAAGCUGUUCACAAGACAACCACCACAGAUGACAAGAGACUUCAAAGCACCCUGAAGAGAAUAGGGGGGAAUGCCAUUCCUGCAAUUGAGGAAGUCAACAUAUUCAAAGAUGAUGAUGUCUAAUCUAGUUUAUUAAUCCUAAAGCCUCUAUUGCUGCCAACACUUGGGUGGUUAGUGGUUCUCCUCAGACCAAGAAAUUGCAAGAUAUUCUUCCUGAAAUUAUUAAUCAAAUGGGUAUGUACCUGUGUCUUUACAGCUAUUUUUUGUUCCUGUUUAUUUCCCUUCACUGGAACUCAUAAGAGAAAUGAAAAGAUUGGUUAAAUAUGACCUUUUGUUUCAUCUUUUUAAGACCUGAUAACUUGGGCAACUUGAGGGAUUAAGCUGGCAGAGCUGUUCCAAAAAGAGGCACCUGGUUCCGGAGCAGGUUCGGCCACGGCAACAGCACAAGAGGAUGAUGAUAAUGAGGUCCCAGAGCUUGUGGCUGGGGAGACCUUUGAAGCUGCUUGCUGAGGAGUGGAACAAGUCUUUACAAGAUUUGGUCUAUACAAAAGAGGGUCCAAAGUCCAAACGCUAGUUUCUGCAUUUGUCUACCACACUCCGCCUCUUUUUCUGAUCAUAUAACAGUUAUAUUGUAACUCAAGUAUGUAUGUAAUUCGUUUAGAUACUAUGCUUGGAGCAUCCACAGCCAAGCCUACUUUGGAUAAUGGCUUUUGCUGUGGCGAAUGAAAUAGUAGCGACAAUUGCUUAAAGGGUCUUUGUGUCCAUUUAUGUUUUUAAAAGAAAAAGUGAUGGUGUGGGUGGGGGGUGUGAAAUAAAUAGUGUAUGUAUUUGUUUCAGUUUUAUUGUAUAUG